AUUGAACGCUGGCGGCAUGCCUUACACAUGCAAGUCGAACGGUAACGCGGGGCAACCUGGCGACGAGUGGCGAACGGGUGAGUAAUGCAUCGGAACGUGCCCAUUAGUGGGGGAUAGCCCGGCGAAAGCCGGAUUAAUACCGCAUACGACCUACGGGUGAAAGCAGGGGAUCGCAAGACCUUGCGCUAUUGGAGCGGCCGAUGUCAGAUUAGGUUGUUGGUGGGGUAAAAGCCUACCAAGCCGACGAUCUGUAGCUGGUCUGAGAGGACGACCAGCCACACUGGGACUGAGACACGGCCCAGACUCCUACGGGAGGCAGCAGUGGGGAAUUUUGGACAAUGGGCGCAAGCCUGAUCCAGCCAUGCCGCGUGCGGGAAGAAGGCCUGGUU
RNAcentral lists this ribosomal RNA (389 nucleotides) under uncultured bacterium. RNAcentral's name for it is "bacterial SSU rRNA". It matches the Rfam family "Bacterial small subunit ribosomal RNA", at positions 29 to 424 of the family's 1533-position model. The record is from RNAcentral.